UAAAUAGAAUUUAUGAAUUUUAAGUAAUAAAUAUAUAAUUAACGUAUAUUUAUUUUAUUUUAAGUACGUUCUAAAUAUUUAACGAUUUUUGAACUUUAUUAUAUUUAUAUAUCAAAUGUAUAUUUAAUUUUAUUUAAAUAUAUUCUAAAUAUUUUAACGGGUUGUGCAAUCAAAAAUGAUGUUUGAAUUUUAAGUUGAAAAGAAUUCGAAUUACGAAAAUCGAUUGAAUUUAGAAAACGAUCCUAUUCGGUUUUAGAUUCAAAUCCUAAAACUAAUAUCCUAAGUCUAGCCCAAAUGGGUAAAGCCCAAUAAUAUAAACCAAUAAACCCCAUACUCCCUUCCUCCUUAACUUCACGUGAAAACAAAAGAAAAAAAAAAAAAAAACCCUCAUCCUUCUCCUUCACGUGAACCACCCUACUCCUCUUGAUUUCGCACCACCGUACUCUUUGUAGCCGUCGCCGCCAACCACCGUCGGACCUCCGCCCCUGCGCCACCGCCCUUCGCCAGUCGGUACUCUCUUCCGUCUUGCUCUUUCUUCCUUUCUUUAUUUUGUUGUUUUUCACUUCUCCUUAAGCCUUGUGUUCUUGUUACAUGAACAACACCUCCGCCGCCGACGUCGACCAGUACCCUCUGUAUCGCCGCCGCCGAAAGGACCAGCCACCGCCCUCCUUCAUCUCUCCACUUGUUGCUUCUCUGUUUCUUGCUCAGCCACGUGCAACCACCACCGCGACCACCUGCAGCCACCUGCUGCGUCGCCUAGCUCCGCGACCGCCCAGCUCCCUCCGCCGCUCAACUCCCUCGCUGCCGCCGCCCCUGCCGCCGGCCAGCUCUCUCUCUCUUCUCUUUUUGGCGGAGAAUUCUUUGUAGGCGAUUUUUGAAUUCGUUAAAGUGGCCUAUCAGUUUGUUUACACAAGUCUCUAAGGAUCAAUAAGCAUUGUCCAUUUGCAGGUUUGAAGAGGUUGCAUCAUUGGGAUCGGGAAUAGAGAGCUUGUAUUUAGUUUUGAAUUGCUAAGUUAACUUGGGUUUGUUAAUUGGGACUUUAAACUUGUCGUACUAUUUAUAUUUCCUUAUUUUCGUUGGAUGAUUUUUGGGGACUAAAUCUGUAAUCGAUUAUUUAUAAACCUAA
Spinacia oleracea (spinach) is the source of this 1126-nucleotide long non-coding RNA. RefSeq lists it as uncharacterized. Lineage: Eukaryota; Viridiplantae; Streptophyta; Magnoliopsida; Caryophyllales; Amaranthaceae. The transcript has 3 exons. The record is from RefSeq and is a predicted model, not a curated record.